CAGCUGAGAACUGUUAUAGCUGUUAAGGAAUGUCAGUUAUGCCCUUUAGAGAGUGGGAGAGUGGUAGUGUGGUCAAAACUUAUGUGUAUUAUAAGGAGGAUGAGUAGCUGGGGAGGGAAGGGCCAGGAUGCUAGGAGGCGCUUUGCAAUGUAUAACUGGUAUUUAUGAUCCUGAGGGAGCCUGGAGGCCUGCAUGGAUUUUGGAUGUUUUUAAGCACCACAAACAGCCUUAUGUCCCUUCUGCCAGAGUUCUGGUAGGAAGGUUGAGGAUACAAAAUAAAAACCUUAUGAUGAAAAAUCUUAUGAAGCCUUCUAGAACUCAUACCAGGAAGCUUGAAACAGAUAUGGAGAGCUAUCAAGAUCCAGUGUUGAUCAUAAGGGUGUCAGCUUCUCCUUCAGGAUUGCCAUAUCUUCAACAUCAGAGGCAACAAGAAUGGAUAUGAUUUUAGUACAUCUUUGUGGUCACCAAUGCACAUAUGGUUUCUAGCUUGUGAACAGUAUUUUGUAUGUACUUUCUGUUCCUACCAACUUCCCUACAGACUUCUACUCCAGUAUGAUGCAAGAUGACAUCAUUGGUUGAGGAUGGGCCAUUAAGAAAUUAAGAGAACUGAGCAUUCUCUUGCAGUUUCCAUUCUUUGACUCCAUUCUGAUUUGAAGAGUUAACAAAAACUAUAAACCUAGGAGUAUACAUAUAUAAGAACAAAAUUUAACAACACUUAUAGGUGUUUAACCAAAGCUACUUCAGAAACACUACCAUAUAAUAAGUCAGUUUUUAAAAUUAACAAGAAGAUUAAAUAAUUUCAAACUCUCCAGUCCUGCACCAAAAUAAUGGAGGAUUCUACUUAUCACCUAUAUGUGUAGAGAAGAGCUAGCAUGAACAGCCCCAAGAAUAGAAAAAACAUCUAAACCAGUAUCUUUAUUUUAAAAUAAGUGUCAAAUGAACACAAUCUUUGAUACUGAAAUUGUAAAUAUUUCAUGUGUGUAUGCACCCAUUCUUGUGUAUGCAGAUAUGCAUGGUAUGCAUGGUUGCCAAAGAACAACCUCAGGAGCCUUCCACCUUUUAUUUGAGACUAGGCCUUUUACUGACAUGGGAAUUUGCCACUUAUGCUAGCCUAGCUUGACACUGGGCUUCCAGGGAUAUCCCUUUCUCUUCUUCCCAUCACCAGAAUCACAGCACCACACUACCAUGUCCAGCAGCAUAAGUGGGUUCUGGGGAGCCAAGCUUAAGUCCUCUAAGUACUUUAGCCACUGAGCCAUAUCCCAAGUUUUGAAAUACUUCACAGACAUAGAAAUGCAAAUAUAGACAGCUAUAGAUACAUAGAUGAAGAUAUAGAGAUAAAGACAAUAUAGAGCUAUAGAUAGAUAUAAAAUAGAGAUAUAGACUGUAGAUAUAUAGGUGGAAAUACAGAUACAUGUAUAUAAGAUAGAUAUAGAUAAUAUAGAGCUAUACACAUAGAGAUGGAGGUAUAUGAUUAUACAUGUACACCAAUGCAAGUGUGCCCUGAGAGAAAAAUAAAACAUACUUAACUAAAAUGUCUACUAUAAACUCUGAAAUGUGUGACCAUCCUACUUCUUCCACAAGUAAACUCACUUUUGUGACCAGUGUAUCAAAUGGCUUUUGCCUCAUCUUGCUUGUGACCUGUCUGUGAAGGUCGUCCUACACUCUGGCAUUUAAGGAAAGAGUAGCUGGAAGAACAUCCUGCUGACUUACAAGUCAGAGUAGACACUGGUCACACAUACCAGGACCAUAUGCCAUCUUACUUCACUACUCUACAUCAAUUAGACUUAAGUUCUCUAAAAAGUAUUAGGUGUGCCCCAAGCUUUGGGCAACAUCAAUCCAUUGGUAUAUACAACUUUUCUUUUUCAUGUUAACUAGAGAACAAAAGACCUAAUAUCCACUAACGUUGAUAACAUAUACUGAUACUAUUAUUUUGCAUGUCUUUAACGUGUGACAGAGGCUUCUCAGAGCCUACACGCUGUAGGAAGACCACUAAUACUGAAUGUUAGACAGUAAACUUUUUACUGAAUUUUCCCUAUGUAUUGUGAAGUGAAAAAAGUCAUUAAUGACGUUGAAAAAAAGGGAAGAGUGAAGAGGGAUGAACUGACAGAACAAAACACAAACCCAGACAGAUGGAGCAACAAUACCAGAGGGGAGAAUAGAUCAUCUUAGUAGAGAACAGACCAGCUCACUGUGAGACUGAAUGAGAGUGAUGAAGAAUGGAGGGCACACACACAAUAAGUAUUAAACAUGUGUAAAGCCAAUAGUUCUGCUUAACAGCUCUCUGAAUGGUUAAGGAAAAAACUAUACAUAAAGAAAAAUAGACAGUUUCUUCACAAAAAAACUAUACUAUUCACAAAAUAAUAUGCUGUUAUAGGUCAUACUGAAUAGUAUUAGGAUCUAAGCAGACUGAAGUGUUAAACUGAUGUCUUAGUUCUUUCUCUAUUGCUAUGAUAAAUAUACCAUGAUCACAACAUCUUAGAAAAGAGACUGCAAUGGCUGGGUGAAGCCAUUGUAACAGGCAUCUGGAACAGCAGCUGGAAACUCACAACUUGGUUCACAAGCAGGAAGCAGACAGUAUGCUGGAAUGGAAUGAAUAUUUCAAAACCAAGCCUACCCCCAGGGGGACACCUUCUGCAACAAGGCCUCAUCCCGUAAUCCUUCCAAAAUAGUUCCAACAUCAGACUAAGUAUUGAAAUAUGUGAGCCUAUGAAGACUACUCUCAUUCAAACCAUCAGAGCUUUCUUCUACCAGCUCCAUCAGUUUCAGCUCAAAAUUUGAUCAUCUGUUGUUGUUACUUAUUCCUCCAUUUUCUCUGUACUAUUGCAUAACAGGAAUAAGGAGAGAAAAUAAUCAAGUGAAAAAAAGGACAGGAAAGUCAGGUUUCCUAACCGGCAUUUAUAACCUCAGUACACAGGAGGAUGAGCUAGGAGAAUCUCAAGUUCAAAGCCACUAAAAUCAGAAGUAUAAACUACAGUAUAAACUACAAUGAGAUGCUAUCACAGACACACACACACACACGCACACACACGCACACACACACACACACAGAGACAGAGACAGAGACAGAGACAGAGAGACAGAGACAGAGACAGAGAGAAUAUAUAGCUAAGCCAAAGUUUGGAAAUACAAUUUUAUCCAAUUGUACCACUGCUCUGCCCUCUCCCCACCCCAUGAAAGGAAAUGCAGAGUGGUCAACAUAUGUUCACAUUCAGAAAUCUCUUUCCAUGCUAUGUGAACUAAGCAACUGGAAGUUUAACAACGUCUUGAUCCUAUUUGUCAAUGUGUUUGUGACCCACUAGUGGUGUGAAGUUGAACUUAGUGAUAGUCCCAACUUUAUCCAUCCUUUUCUACUAACUAUUCUUUUCAUAAAUCAUGAGGCAAUUUAAAAUGGAACAUCUCAGAAUGUGUCACUUAUUUUAAAUUUAGAUGGCUUCCACAAUGUAACUGAAUACAUUUCAGAGAAUACUUACAGAAACUCCCUAAUGUUGCAUGAAAAAUGCAUGUGUCUAUGAUAGUUUUUCUAAAGACAGUGCUCAUGAAUUUAUAGUUUCUUGAAAGGCUUAUGUUCCCGAACUGUUGUGAACAGUAUUAUUCUUCCUCCUGUAAUGUUCAAAGAACAGACCAUUUAAAGAUUUACUAAGGAAGUCAGAGAGAACAGCAAAUAAUUGGGUUGUGCAUCUUCUUGGG
Molecule: long non-coding RNA, 3687 nt
Filed under: Rattus norvegicus (Norway rat)
Lineage: Eukaryota; Metazoa; Chordata; Mammalia; Rodentia; Muridae
Description: long non-coding RNA NONRATT033165
Source: RNAcentral